GGAGAAUGAGAUCAGAGAUUAUGUUCGCUCAGAAAUGAAUCAGCACUGUGCGUGUGGAGGUUCAGGCCUGGACACUCGGUCCCGGCCCGCAGUCAGGGCUCGGCCUCCACCAGAGCAACAACUGG
Molecule: long non-coding RNA, 125 nt
Organism: Seriola dumerili (greater amberjack)
Lineage: Eukaryota; Metazoa; Chordata; Actinopteri; Carangiformes; Carangidae
Exons: 3
Source: RefSeq, a predicted model, not a curated record